UACGGAGGGUGCAAACGUUGCUCGGAAUCAUUGGGCGUAAAGCGAACGUAGGCGGCUAUGUAAGUCGGGUGUGAAACCUCCAGGCUCAACCUGGAGACGCCACUCGAUACUGCUGUGACUAGAGUUCGGUAGGGGAUCACGGAAUUCCUGGUGUAGCGGUGAAAUGCGCAGAUAUCAGGAGGAACACCGGUGGCGAAGGCGGUGAUCUGGGCCGACACUGACGCUGUAGAGCGAAAGCGUGGGGAGCGAACAGG
This 254-nucleotide ribosomal RNA is filed under the name uncultured bacterium. RNAcentral describes it as "partial 16S ribosomal RNA". It matches the Rfam family "Bacterial small subunit ribosomal RNA", at positions 524 to 776 of the family's 1533-position model. The record is from RNAcentral.